CCUACGGGUGGCAGCAGUGGGGAAUAUUGCACAAUGGGGGAAACCCUGAUGCAGCGACGCCGCGUGAGUGAAGAAGUAAUUCGUUACGUAAAGCUCUAUCAGCAGGGAAGAAAUACUGACCUUACGGUCAGCAGACGGUACCUGAGUAAGAAGCCCCGGCUAACUACGUGCCAGCAGCCGCGGUAAUACGUAGGGGGCAAGCGUUAUCCGGAUUUACUGGGUGUAAAGGGAGCGUAGACGGUGCGCCAAGUAUGGAGUGAAAUGCCGCAGCUUAACUGGGGAACUGCUUUGGAAACUGGCGAACUAGAGUGCGGGAGGAGUAAGCGGAAUUCCUAGUGUAGCGGUGAAAUGCGUAGAUAUUAGGAGGAACACCGGUGGCGAAGGCGGCUUACUGGACCGUAACUGAUGUUGAGGCUCGAAAGCGUGGGGAGCAAACAGGAUUAGAUACCCUUGUAGUC
RNAcentral lists this ribosomal RNA (458 nucleotides) under uncultured bacterium. Its description in RNAcentral is "partial 16S ribosomal RNA". It matches the Rfam family "Bacterial small subunit ribosomal RNA", at positions 338 to 795 of the family's 1533-position model. The record is from RNAcentral.